Molecule: non-coding RNA, 231 nt
Organism: Hordeum vulgare subsp. vulgare (domesticated barley)
Lineage: Eukaryota; Viridiplantae; Streptophyta; Magnoliopsida; Poales; Poaceae
Source: Rfam
CCUUGGUUCUACUUGAAGGGAAAAGCAAACGCAAGAAAGUAUGUGUCAACGUGUCAAUUUCUGGCGCUGUUGUUUGAGAAGUAGCAUAGGUGUGUGAUGCCCUUAGAUGUUUUUCUAGGCCACACACACACUACAUUGAUUUAUUCAACGAGUAUAUAGACUUGGCCGAGAGGCCCAUGUAAUCUUGGGAAAUAUCAUUGUGAUGGGGAUAGAUCAUUGCAAUUGUUGGUC